GAUGAACGCUGGCGGCGUGCCUAAUACAUGCAAGUCGAGCGAACGGACGAGAAGCUUGCUUCUCUGAUGUUAGCGGCGGACGGGUGAGUAACACGUGGAUAACCUACCUAUAAGACUGGGAUAACUUCGGGAAACCGGAGCUAAUACCGGAUGAUAUUUUGAACCGCAUGGUUCAAAAGUGAAAGACGGUCUUGCUGUCACUUAUAGAUGGAUCCGCGCUGCAUUAGCUAGUUGGUAAGGUAACGGCUUACCAAGGCAACGAUGCAUAGCCGACCUGAGAGGGUGAUCGGCCACACUGGAACUGAGACACGGUCCAGACUCCUACGGGAGGCAGCAGUAGGGAAUCUUCCGCAAUGGGCGAAAGCCUGACGGAGCAACGCCGCGUGAGUGAUGAAGGUCUUCGGAUCGUAAAACUCUGUUACUAGGGAAGAACAGAUGUGUAAGUAACUGUGCACAGCUUGACGGUACCUAAUCAGAAAGCCACGGCUAACUACGUG
Molecule: ribosomal RNA, 497 nt
Filed under: uncultured bacterium
Lineage: Bacteria
Description: partial 16S ribosomal RNA
Rfam family: Bacterial small subunit ribosomal RNA
Source: RNAcentral